GAUCUCUCUUCACUCCCUUUUAUUGUAUUUAUGCUCAAGUAUCGAUGUCAUUAGCCAUUUUUAUGUCCUAAUAAGAUUUUGACAGUAUUUUAUGUUGAAAGGAUUGGUAGGUAGAUUGAGGAUUUUCCUUUAUUUUGAAUUAUAUGCUAAUCACUUUACCUGCCAAUGGUUUAAAAUGUAUCAUUUAAACUUUUAUAAAAUGUUCUUUUACUAUCAAACCAUUGUCUGCUAUUUUCUUAAAUAUAAGUAAUAGAAUAAUUGAGGAUUUAAAUUUGUCAUGACAUAUAUUGACUUUGCUUAGGAUAAAUAUGAAGCCAAAUCACCAUCCUCUUUCCUAAAUAAUUAAAAAGGUUUACCUCUACGUAAUUAAAAUAGUUGAGAAAUUGACCCAUCAUUUUAAUUGUCUGUUAUGUUUCUUUAUCUUUAUCACCAAUCCUCUCCAUGAGCUCAAUAAUGCAAAAGGAAUAAUUAAGCUCAACAACAGCGACCUAGAACUAAUGAAGAUGGGAUUGGUGGUGCUUAAUAUGUUUAAAGCAUCGACUCCCUGUAAACCCACAAGCACGGCGGUGAUGAAGAAGAAGAAUAACAACUGAACUAACACUGAGCUAAUUAUCCUAAGCAUUUAAACUUGUAUAAUAUGUUCUUUUACCAUUAAACCAUUGUCUGCUAUUUUCUUAAUUAUAUUUUCUUAAGUAUAACUAACACCACAUGGAGCAAGAACAUGUUCAAAGGAUUCUUUUAUUUUCUUUUUCUUUCUCUUUUAACUUUUUUUAGGCUUAAUCAUUAGUUAUUUACCCUGUUUUUUCUUUUUCAAUCAUCUAUUUAUUUGUGUGGUAGCUACUCUGUGUGGGGGGGAAGAAACUAGAACAUGGAUUUCAAAUGUACUUAAAAAGCAUAUAAGUCUACAGGAUUACUUUUGUGAUUUUGUUAUUUAUAGAUUUUGAAUAAUCUUUUGAUUGAUCGAUAUAAGUUUACAGGAUUAGCUUUACACCUAUGGCUACUCAAUCUAUUGAUAAAGGUUUCAUAUUUAUUAAGUAUGAUAGGACAUGGUUGUUAGGAUAUAGAGUAUGAAAGGACACUUUGAGCAUUGUGCACUGAAGUAUGAAAUGUGCUUGCUGUUUUUUAUUAGUCCCUAUAUCAUAUAUAAUCUGAUGGAAUAUAAGACAUUAAGGUUUUAUACUUGAUCUAUAAGUUAUUUUCUAUUACACAAUAGUAUUUUCCUUUUGGCUCCUAAAAAACUAUCGUUGUGUCUAUUACUUACUUCCACUGACACUCUCAUUGCACACAUCCUCAUAAUAGUACUUUCCUUCUGACACGUGACCAAUUCAUUAGUAAUAGUUUGAAUUUGAAUUUCAAAUUGAGUAGCCACAAUGGCAUCAUUAGAAUCUUGUCUUCACCCUCAAAUAUCACAGCUCUAUUUUAUUAGCUUUGCCUGAAUUGUCCUUGUCCUUUCUUCUCUUCAUUUUUUUAUUCUGAUUUCUAACUUCUUUUUAUUAGUUUAACACUUGAUUUGUUGUAUGGAGCAUCAGAUGGCUUCUUAUAAAUGAUUUCUCUCCCUUUCAGGUUGAGAUUAGUGCUGGAUAUCCACAAUCUUUGGAAGCAGUAGACUGAACGAAGUUAAAGAUGAAGAGAAAGAAUGAGGGUUCAGAUGAUCUUUCCAUAAAGAGCUCAGAUCUUUUUGUACUUAAGGGAUUUGUUAUUCAACUAGAGUCCAGCCAAAAGAAGUGCAAUGUACUAGCAGGGGCAUCUCACCAGUAGAUUUCGAGCUGCCUUCUGUCAUUAUUUAAAUUGAAACUAAUGUAUGCUUACAACUGGCAAUAUAUAUAUAUAUAUAUAUAUCCAUUGAUAGGAUGUCUUUUUAAAGGAUGGCGAUAUGGAAGGACACCUUGAGCAUUGUGCAAUGAAAUAUGUAACCUACGCAUUGAUUUUUUUGCUUUUCCUAUAUCAUAAAUAAUAUGAUAGCAUGCAAUAUAUUAAGGUUACAUAGUUUAUCCAUCAGUUAGUUUCUAUUGCACAGUAAUAUUUUUCUGUUUGCUUUUUAAAAAAGGUCCCAUCAGCUUGUUUUGCCCUCUUUCAUGGUUCGUAUUUGAUACAUAGGACUUAACUCAUUACAUUGUAUCAAUGGAUGGGCUGAUCUCACAUGUUCUCUUGCCUAUUUUGACCAGGACAUGCUUCAAAUUACACUGAUAUUCUUGCAUGUUCCUACCUCGAUUCCAUUGAUGCAUUGCUGGAUUUGUUUUCUUCUCAGUUUGUUCUUUCCAAUAUUUAUCUAUUGUUUUGAUUGGCAUCAUGACUCGUGACACAAAAGUUCCUCUUCAGCUUUGUUUGGUGAUAGAAAUAGGCAAGUUUCUUUUUGUAAGCCAUUAAAUAAAAAAUGAGAAAGACUAAAAGGAUGCUGUGUGAGUGUGGUGGCUAUGCUAUUCUCUGUUACAUUAAUAUUUUUUUAUUCCUAUAAAUAAAUUAGCUUGAGCAAGUUUCUAGGAUGAGUUAGUCAAAAGCCUUUACAGAGUUGUUUUACAGUAUUCUAGAUUCUACAAUUUAGUUGUUUAUCUUUGGAGAAUAAUUUUAUUCUAUGGACAAUGGUUUUGUACAUGUAUUUUUCCUUGAGCCAAAUUCACUUCCAUAUGUAUGAUAUACUUAUU
Long non-coding RNA from Prosopis cineraria, 2642 nucleotides. RefSeq lists it as uncharacterized. The record is from RefSeq and is a predicted model, not a curated record. The transcript has 3 exons. NCBI's taxonomy places the organism in Eukaryota, Viridiplantae, Streptophyta, Magnoliopsida, Fabales, Fabaceae.